CGAUAGGCCUAACACAUGCAAGUCGAGGGGCAUCACAUGAGGUAGCAAUACUGAUGGUGGCGACCGGCGCAAGGGUGCGUAACGCGUGAGCAACAUGCCCUAUACAGGGGGAUAAUCCAGGGAAACUUGGUCUAAUAUCCCAUAGUAUUUAGAGGAGGCAUCUUCUAUAAAUUAAAGCUUCGGUGGUAUAGGAUUGGCUCGCGUGACAUUAGCUAGAUGGUGAGGUAACGGCUCACCAUGGCAAUGAUGUCUAGGGGUUCUGAGAGGAAGGCCCCCCACACUGGGACUGAGACACGGCCCAGACUCCUACGGGAGGCAGCAGUGGGGAAUUUUGGGCAAUGGGGGCAACCCUGACGCAGCAACGCCGCGUGAGUGAGGAAGGUUUUCGGAUUGUAAAGCUCUGUCGAGCGGAAAGAAAUGCACGAUGGCUAAUAUCCAUCAUGCUUGACGGUACCGCUAGAGGAAGCACCGGCUAACUCCGUG
Molecule: ribosomal RNA, 483 nt
Filed under: uncultured bacterium
Lineage: Bacteria
Description: bacterial SSU rRNA
Rfam family: Bacterial small subunit ribosomal RNA
Source: RNAcentral